CCUUCCCUACCUCCCUUCCUUUUCCCUUGAGUAGGGGUAAAAUACUCAUUAUGGAAUAGAGUUCAUUUUUUUUCAAUUUAUUUCCAAUUCUUAUAAAUUUUAUUUUUUGAAUAUUUACACAUUAACUUGCUUUCAAAAGUUAAAAAUAUAUAAAAAGAUAUAUUCAGAGAAGUGUCGUUCCUUCUGUAUCCCUUUCACGCUUUCUCUACUCAACCCUUAUAGGUAGGCAUCUUCAUUGUUUUUUGCUUUUUGUUACUUCUUGUUGUGUAUAUUUUAGUUGAGAUAAGCAGAUAUACAUACUUUCUAAUUUUUCCUUAUUUCAUAUAUGAGAAGCAUACUAAUAUACUCUUUUGCACAUGGUUUUUCUUCAUUUCAGUGGAAUUCAUCAAUCCAUUACAGAGGUCUUUCUCAUAAUUUUUUUAUAAUUGCCUAAUACUGCAGAGCGUGUCUAUACUAUAGUUGAUGCAACCACUCUCUACACUUGGACACUUAAGUCGUUUCCAAUAUUUUGCAAAAACAACAAAUGCUUCAGUGGACAACCUUAUGUUUAUAUAUUUUUAUAUUGUUGGUUUAUCUUCAGGAUAAAUUCCUAGAAGUGGGAUUGCUGAGUCAAAAGCAAAUUCACAUACAGCUUUGUUAGGUAUUGCAAAUCCUCCUCUGUAAAGACUGUACCAUUUCCUAUUCCCAUCAGCAAUGUAUGAGAGUGCCUGUUUCUUUAUAGCUUGGCCAAAAGAAUGUAUCAUCAAGCUUUUAAAUUUGCCAGUCUGAUGCUAACUAAUUAGAGACAGUAGCUCUUUAUUUGUAAUAGAUGCUGAAAAUACUUUCUCCUAGGGGUCACUUAUCUUUUAACUUCUUUGCUGAUGCUAUUUUCCUUCAUGAAUGUUUUGUUUGUUUGCUUUUUGACAUGUAAAAGCUUUUAAUUUUUAGUAGGCAAAUUUAUCUUUUGUUUUGUUGUUUCAGAAUUUUUAAUAAUCACUCAAAAGCCUUCCUCUGCACCCAGGUUUUACAGGGAUUUAGUGAUGUUUUCUUCUGGUAUGUGUAGGUUUUUUUCACUUUUAAAUCUCUGAUGCAUUUAGAGUUUAUUUUUGUGUGUGGUAUGAGAAAUGGAUCUAAUUUUACCUUUUUCAAAAUGGCUAUUCAGUUGUCUCAACACCAUUUAUUAUAAAAAGACCGUAUUUAUCUCCCUGUUUUGAGAUACUAGUUUUAUUUUACACUAAAUUUCUACAUGUAAUUGGAUUAUUCUGGAGUUUGUAUGUUAUUCCAUUGAUUUCUGUUUUAUGCAGGCGGAUGCUGUGUUAUUUGGUACAUAAAUAUUCAUAAUUGUUAUAACUUCAUAGUAGUAAUGGCUUCUAAUGUUAUAAUUUUGUCUUAUUUAAUUUUUUUUGGCUUGAAGUCUACUUUUUCUAAAAACGUAUGAGUUUUGCAUUUACAUGAUUUUAAAUGUCACAUGUACUGUACUCUAUGAUUAACAUAUUUUUUGAUCACUAGCACAGCUUUCUACUAGAAAAGUACAAUAAAAUGUAAUUAAUUGGAGGUAUGAUGUGGAGAGUUUGCAACCUCUGCUGUCUACCUGACAUGGCAACUCUAGAGAAUCAAGCAGAUAUUGCAAUUAAUAAAUUACAUAAAUGCUCUUUUGCAUUUGCUGUGGUGGCUGUAAUUGUAUACAGCAAGUAGCUGGGUUUUGUUACAUAAACUCAGAUUAAAAUAGUCACUCAAUAUUUUUGUGCAGAGAUUUGUUUUUCUGUCCCUUUGGUAAUAUUUAAGUUUUGAGAAGCUUUAAGAUCUUAUAAGAGGACAAAGUGGAUAUGUAUGCCUAAUUAUUGCUUCAGAAGAGAAAAUUUAUGUAAAUAAAAACAACUAAUUUUUUUUUCAGUUUGCAAGAGCCAUACAUGUGACAAAAAUGAAGCCCAGUGAAGUGACCUGCCUGCUCACAUAGCCAGUUACAAAAUCAUUCCUAUCACACAGGUUGUUUAACGGCUAAGUCAAGUGUUCUUUUCACACUUGCAUAUUAAGUCUAUUUCUGUACACAUCAGAAUGCCUCCCCUUUGCAUACACCUUGGCUAACAGAAAUGCUGUGUGCCCAGAGAAGCCUAGGUGACACACAAUGUGUUAUUUUUAUCCUUUUUUUUUCUGCAGGCCACUUGCAGGGGAAACAAAAUCUUAAAGUGCACCGACCUUGUCUUUAGGGGAGAAGGAAUGGGCGAAAGGGAUUUCAGCAUCUGAAAGUAACAUUGUCUGAUGUCAAUUAUAAUGAUGACUAAACAGGUAGGUGAAGUGUGGUGCUUAGAGUCCUGAUCACCUGGGCUCAUUCCUUCUGUUUAAUCCAGAGGACCCAGAUGUGCUCACCACCAAUGUCCAGGCUGACCAAAGAUCCUACAGCCUCAGGUAGGAGGAUGGAUGGCAAGCUGACAACAAGCAGAUUUCUAAAGUGUUGGAAAGGCAUUUUAGGUCCCCUGUCUGGACUAUAUGUAUAUAUAUGUCUAUAUGCGUAUGUGUGUAUAUACACACACAUAUGUAUAUAUGUAUAUACAUCUAGGUAUGUAUGUGUCUAUAUGCAUGUACACACACACACACACACAUACAUAUAUAUGUUUUUUUAAGGAAAAAUGGCCAAACCAGCCAGGCAGCAAAUCAUUCUGAUGUAAAAGCUGUUAAGAAUCAUGGAGAAAAAACUCUCCCUGCAUGCUGGAGCUUACUGCUUACUGGCACUUGUAUUAGAACAGCAGCAGCAGCAGGAACAGGAAGCAGAGGCUAAUCAGAGAAAAGGAAAAAAAACACACUCUGAAAAUGCUAAAAUGGAGCAAUAGCAGGGUCCUAGAACAGGGUGUUAUGUGUUUUGGUAAUAAAUAAAUAAAUAAACAAACAAACCAACCAUGUAGCAAUGGAGAAUUUAAAUCCCUAGGAGUCUUGGAAACUGUGCAAGGCUGCCUCCACUCCCUCCCCCAGUUCUAAACCUUAUAAAUCCCAGGAGAACUCUUUGUGCAGAGAUAAUUUCUUAGACUACUUAGAAGGUAAAUUCAUACAUUUAGAGAAAGGCAUGUGAUGAUGGUGUAUUUAUGUGUGAAAGAGGAACAAGGAAUCUACUGGUCUCUCCAUUUUCAAGGAAGAAAAUUCAAAGACAUUUCACACUACCACCUACAGACCAGGACAAUGCCUUCCA
Molecule: long non-coding RNA, 3160 nt
Filed under: Sus scrofa (pig)
Lineage: Eukaryota; Metazoa; Chordata; Mammalia; Artiodactyla; Suidae
Description: lncRNA (ENSSSCG00055010184.1)
Source: RNAcentral